AUGCGGAGCCCUGGGUCCUCUGGUUUCUGUCACUCCCUGUCGCUGUGUCUCCUAGGCUGUGUCUCUCACUGCCUCAGUCUCUCCCGGCGGUAUUUCUGCGCGCACCCCCCACCUGUUUUUGUUUUUUGUUUUUUUUUCCCCCUCCACCUGUUUUACCGCGUUGCUAUGGAUCGAAAAAGACGCAGGCGCACGGGAGGCGAGAUGCUGAGCAAGGCUAGCUCUGCCUCUGAUUGGCUGUCCUUUCAGCCGUUGCGUCUUCGCUCCGCCCCAACCCUGGGGGAUGGCCAAUUGCCUUCUGGGGGUCGUAGUCCGACGCGCAGGCCCAGCGCGCACGCGCAGUCUGAGCUGACGCCAUCGCUCCGAGCUCCUGGCGGCUGGAACCGGCCUGGGACCGCUACGCAAGAGUCUAAAGGCACCUUUCGCCCCUUUGUAAUGGGUGAGUAACUAUUGGGUGAUGCCAGGAGACCCUGUGAAUGUCCUGAGUAACAUGAGGUGGGACUGUGGGGAGAGGAGAAGGGGGGCACGGCAGGGCCUGGAGGUAGAGCUGAAGAGUUGGGAGCUAAGCGUGAGCCCUGCUUAGCCCAGUGGGAAAGGGAUUUGCCUGCAGGAGGCCCACAGUGCUUGGAGACCUCUCAGCUCAGCUGCCCACACCACCCCCCCACCUUGGCUUCCUCUGCAUCCCAGGACCAGGAGGGCCAGGCUCAUAGGAUCAACCUCAGACAUGUCCAUGGGGUGCAGGGGGAGUCUGGGCUCCAAGAAAUUUCCAUCCCCAUCUGAGGCAAAUCCUGAGUGGCCCUGAGAUGUGUAUGUGAUGGGGGGAAGUCUGCUUGGUGAGUGAGCCAAGAGGAACUUGGGCCAUGGGGAAUGGCCUCGCUCAAGGAAUCUGGAGACAGGAAGGAGUUCUGGUGGUCCCUCUGCCUAACAAGGUCAUCCUUGCAGCAGCAUGACCAGGUUGUGAGGCUCUGAUGAGAGAAGAUAAGAUCCAUGCAUGCACACAUUAGUGAGUUAUCUUCGGUUAACUUUGUGGAGACAGGCCCCGGACAGGAUGAUCGUGCCUGUGGUAUCUUAAGAAAACCAAAAUUACUUGCUUAUGUGACCACACAUCUGCCCAUAUUACCACACAAAGCCCCACGUAUCCUGUGCCUGUUGGGAUAAAUGUGGUCGUGCCAGCUGGCUGGAGCUGGCACACUUCUCUUGCCAGGUGAGGCUCUAGAUUAAAGGCAGAAACAUGGUUAAAAGAGCUAGAGUCUGGAACUGGGAUUGGGAAACUCUGGCCUACAGGCCAACCAGCAGCCCGUUUUUGUAAUGAAGUUGUUUGGGGACACAGGCAGGCCCAUGGCAUGCGGGUGCUCUGGCUGUUUCAGCCCCAAGGUGAAGUUGAGUUGUCUCAACCGAAACCACCUGUCCUGCAUUUGCCAACCCUGGCCCCUAGCAGAAUUAAUGCAAGAGUGCAUUAAAAAAAAAAAAAAAAAAAAAAAAAUUAAGUUUAUUUAUUUUGAGAGAGAGAGAGUGUGCUCAAGCAGGGAAGGAGCAGAGAGUCCUAAGCAGGCUCCACGCUGUCAGCACAGAUCCCGAUACAGGGUUCACCCUGGGGCUGGAACUCAUGAACCAUGAGAUCAUGACUUGGGUCAAAACCAAGAGUCAGAUGCUUAACUGACUGAGCCCCACCGGUGCCCUGAGUGCAUUUCUAAUCUUGAGUGCAUUUCUAAUUAAAAAUUCGAAGGAAGCUCUUUAUAAACAAGUUUCUGAACUCCACAUCUUUCUUAGGAAGAAAAAAAGCACAUUUGACAAUAAGAAACAUUAGAACUUUAUGGUAUAGCAAAAAGAGAGCAUGAAGUGAAAAGAUAAGUCACAGACUGGGCUGCUGGCAAGACCAGGCCAGACAGACACCACUUUAAUUAUUUAAUAGAAGGGAGCUGGAAGAAAAUGGCUACUGAAGGAGUGCCUUGGUGGCUCAGUCGGUUGGUUGUCUGACUUCGGCUCAGGUUGUGAUCUCAUGGUUUGUGAGUUUGAGCUCUGCGUCAGACUCUGUGCUGACAGCUCAGAGCCUGGAGCCUGUUUCAGAUUCUGUGUCUCCCUUUCUCUCUGCCCCUUCCUUGCUCGCGCUGUCUCUCUCUCUUCCCCUCUCCCUCUCUCAAAAAUAAAUAAAUAUUAAAUUUUUUUUUUAAAAAUGGC
Molecule: long non-coding RNA, 2175 nt
Filed under: Felis catus (domestic cat)
Lineage: Eukaryota; Metazoa; Chordata; Mammalia; Carnivora; Felidae
Description: lncRNA (ENSFCAG00000049682.1)
Source: RNAcentral